CGCGCACACAUAUAUAACGUGCAUAUAAUAAAUAAUAAUAGGUGUUUUCUAUGAUUACUUUGCUUUUUAUUCACUUUGUUCGUUUUACCAUCAGAUGAACCAAUAUUGAUUCAUUCAGUGGUGGUUAUGUACAAAGUGAGAUUUACUAUAUUAAAAACAUAGCAACCAUAAAAUUUCCCAAAAUAAUGAUGAUGAUAAUUAAAAGCCUAUAUAUGAAAAUUCUUGAUCCCUAGACCAAUGCCAAAAGUUAUAUAAAUGUCCUAACGUAACUUCAUGUGAAAUCAUGUCAAACUUAAACGGUUGCUUAAAUAAAAAUUGAUUUUAGUUAAUGCCAUUUAGUUCCCAAGUAAAAUCAAGAUUACCCUUAUGACAUCGCCCAAGCACACAAGAUAUGACCAAGUUGUGUCUCUCAACCACUGAAAAUACUCCAUCUUUUAUCCAACUAAGGAUAUCAAUAGAUAAAAUAAUAAUAAAGCUCAAAACCCCAAGUUAACAUAUCAACCCCUCCCCCCAACCACCCAAGAAAAAAGAACACCUCUCUCGUUUCCCAGCCAUAAAAAAUAGCUUCUUUAUUCUUAUAAAUUAAUAAGAUACCUACCAUUUCUUGUUUUUAGCCAAAGACAAAAACAGGUUUAAUAAUCAAUAUUCCCUGUUUCAUUAAUUCUGUAAGAGUUAAAUCCUUCACCAUCCAAUUAUUCAAACUUAUUUCUUACUUUUGAAUAGGAGAUGUGAUAAUUGAUCAUGGAUUUGUUCAUCUAAGCAAGAGACAACAAAAAAAAGGGCAAAAGUGUGACUAAUACUAUAUACCAAGGCCCAUGAACAAAAUCUGGAAAGUAAGAACAAUAGUGCAACUCAAACUCUAGCACUGAGUGUGAUGGAUGAAUGUUAGCACCACUCAUCCAUCUACUGUAAUCAAUACUAAUCAUGAUAAACUGGUAAGAAUAUUACAGCACUAAAUUUCGGAAUCUG
RNAcentral lists this unclassified non-coding RNA (969 nucleotides) under Hevea brasiliensis (rubber tree). The record is from RNAcentral. Lineage: Eukaryota; Viridiplantae; Streptophyta; Magnoliopsida; Malpighiales; Euphorbiaceae.